Molecule: microRNA precursor, 82 nt
Rfam family: mir-769 microRNA precursor family
ACCCCCUGGACAGAGCCCCCAGAGACACUGGCUGUGAUCUCUGNAUCACAGCCAGUGUCUCUGGGGGCUCUGUCCAGGGGGU